UUUAUUUGGGCAAUAGAGUGUCACUUUAAUACAAGUGGUAAUAUUUGUUUAAUUUGAGACAUCCUUUAAGUUACUAGUAGAUACAUUGUACAGUAUGUGUUUGUGUUAUAAAUAUGUAAUGGCAGCCACAAUAAUGUUAUAUUGAUAAAAAUUAGUAUAUACAGCAAUGAAAGUGGCUGUAGAGGGCUAGUUUGUUACAUUAUACCCAUUUACUACCUUUAGAUAGAAUGGAAUGUAAGUUUAAUCAAAUGUAUUAAGACAUUUUGAUGCGUUUUCACUACAAAUAAAGCACUUUCGUUUAUGAAAUAAAUGUUGUCUGUUGAUUUUAUUGCAUUAAAAGAUCCUGUGUCUAUAAAGUCAGUGAAAUUCACAUGUGAAAAAUAUGGUGAUUGUUUCACAAUUUAAAUUCACAUAAUUCUAAUAAAGCAUCUAAGCCAAAAAUUAUUCAG
Non-coding RNA from Pelobates cultripes (western spadefoot toad), 449 nucleotides. The record is from the annotation of a GenBank genome assembly. Lineage: Eukaryota; Metazoa; Chordata; Amphibia; Anura; Pelobatidae.